AGGGUGUUGUUUGGGGUGUUGGGGUGUUCCUAUGGGUGCUGGGGUGUUCCUAUGGGUGUUGGGGUGUUCCUAUGGGUGCUGGGGUGUUGUUUGGGGUGCUGGGGUGUUCCUAUGGGUGCUCAGGGUGUUAUUGGGGUGCUGAGGUGUUCCUAUGGGUGCUCAGGGUGUUGUUGGGGGUGCCGGGGUGUUCCUAUGGGUGUUGGGGUGUUCCUAUGGGUGCUCAGGGUGUUAUUGGGGUGCUGAGGUGUUCCUAUGGGUGCUGGGGGGGUUGUUUGGGGUGCUGGGGUGUUCCUAUGGGUGUUGGGGUGUUCCUAUGGGUGCUCAGGGUGUUAUUGGGGGUGCUGGGGUGUUCCUAUGGGUGCUCAGGGUGAUGUUUGGGGUGCUGGGUGUUCCUAUGGGUGCUGGGUGUUCCUAUGGGUGCUGGGUGUUCCUAUGGGUGCUGGGUGUUCCUAUGGGUGCUGGGUGUUCCUAUGGGUGCUCAGGGUGUUAUUGGGGUGCUGGGGUGUUCCUAUGGGUGCUCAGGGUGUUAUUGGGGUGCUGGGGUGUUCCUAUGGGUGCUCAGGGUGUUGUUUGGGGUGCUGGUUGUUCCUAUGGGUGCUGGGUUGUUCCUAUGGGUGUUGGGGUGUUCCUAUGGGUGCUGGGGUGUUCCUAUGGGUGCUCAGGGUGUUAUUGGGAUGCUGGGGUGUUCCUAUGGGUGUUGGGGUGUUCCUAUGGGUGCUGGGUGUUGUUUGGGGUGCUGGGUGUUCCUAUGGGUGCUGGGUGUUGUUGGGGCCUGCUGGGUGUUGUUGUGGGUGUUGGGGCCUUGUUGCUUGGGCUGUUGCUAUGGGUGUUGGGCUGUUCCUAUGGGUGUUGCGCUGUUCCUAUGGGUGCUGGGGUGUUGUUGGGGGUGUUGGGGUAUUCCUAUGGGUGCUCAGGGUGUUAUUUGGGGUGCUGGGGUGUUCCUAUGGGUAUUGGGGUGUUCCUAUGGGUCCUCAGGGUGUUGCUAUGGGUGCUGGGCUGUUGUUCGGGGUGUUGGGGUGUUAUUUGGGGUGCUGGGUGUUCCUAUGGGUGCUGGGCUGUUGGUGGGGCCUGGUGGGUGUUGUUGUGGGUGUCGGGGCCUUGUUGCUUGGGCUGUUGCUAUGGGUGUUGGGCUGUUCCUAUGGGUGCUGGGCUGUUGUUUGGGGUGCUGGGCUGUUCCUAUGGGUGCUGGGUGUUCCUAUGGGUGCUGUUGGGUGUUGUUGGGGCCUGCUGGGUGUUGUUGUGGGUGUCGGGGCCUUGUUGCUUGGGCUGUUGCUAUGGGUGUUGGGCUGUUCUUUGGGGUGCUGGGGUGUUCGUAUGGGUGUUGGGGUGUGGUUGGGGUGUUGGGGUGUUGUUUGGGGUGUUGCUAUGGGUGCUGGGGGGGUUGAUAGGGGUGCUGGGGUGUUCCUAUGGGUGCUGGGGUGUUGUUGGGGGUUGUUGAGGCCUUGUUGCUGUGGUGUUGUUGCUAUGGGGCUGUAGUUACUAUGGGUGCUCAGGGUGUUGUUGCUCAGCCCCCCAUAUUCCCCCCCCUCUCCCCCCCAUAACCCCGGACCCAUAGGGACAGCCCUGACCCACUUGGAAAUGGGGCCAGGGCCUGGGGCAGCAUGGAGCCUGCAGGGCCUAUAGGGGGGCAGGGCCUAUAGGGGAGCAGGGCCUAUAGGGGGGCAGGGCCUAUAGGGGGGCAGGGCCUAUAUGGGAGCAGGGCCUAUAAGGGAACGGGUCCUAUAGGGGAGUAGGUCCUAUAGGGGAACAGGGCCUAUAAGGGGGCAGGGCCUAUAGGGGAACAGGGCCUAUAGGGGAGCAGGGCCUGUAAGGGAGCAGGUCCUAUAAGGGAACAGGGCGUAUAGGGGGGCAGGGCCUAUAUGGGAGCAGGGCCUAUAAGGGGGCAGGUCCUAUAAGGGGACCAGGGCCUAUAGGGGACCAGGGCCUAUAGGGGGGCAGGUCCUAUAAGGGAGCAGGUCCUAUAAGGGGACCAGGGCCUAUAGGGGACCAGGGCCUAUAGGGGGGCAGGGCCUAUAGGGGAGCAGGGCCUAUAGGGGAGCAGGGCCUAUAAGGGAGCAAGGCCUAUAGGGGAACAGGGCCUAUAGGGGAGCAGGGGCUAUAGGGGAACAGGGGCUAUAAGGGGGUAAGUCCUAUAAGGGAGCAGGGCCUAUAGGGGAGCAGGGGCUAUAGGGGAGCAGGGGCUAUAGGGGAGCAGGUCCUAUAAGGGAGCAGGGCCUAUAGGGGAGCAGGGCCUAUAAAGGAACAGGGCCUAUAGGGGAGCAGGGGCUAUAGGGGAGCAGGGUCUAUAGGGGAACAGGGCCUAUAGGGGAGCAGGGCCUAUAAGGGAGCAAGGCCUAUAGGGGAACAGGGCCUAUGGGGGAGCAGGGCCUAUAGGGGAACAGGGCCUAUAAGGGGGCAGGGCCUAUAGGGGAACAGGGCCUAUAAGAGGGCAGGGCCUA
Molecule: long non-coding RNA, 2438 nt
Filed under: Coturnix japonica (Japanese quail)
Lineage: Eukaryota; Metazoa; Chordata; Aves; Galliformes; Phasianidae
Description: lncRNA (ENSCJPG00005005925.1)
Source: RNAcentral